RNAcentral lists this ribosomal RNA (208 nucleotides) under uncultured Pseudomonadota bacterium. RNAcentral describes it as "uncultured proteobacterium partial 16S ribosomal RNA". It matches the Rfam family "Bacterial small subunit ribosomal RNA", at positions 568 to 775 of the family's 1533-position model. The record is from RNAcentral. Lineage: Bacteria; Pseudomonadati; Pseudomonadota.
CGUGUAGGCGGCUUGACAAGUCAGAUGUGAAAUCCCCGGGCUUAACUCGGGAAGUGCAUUUGAAACUGUCUGGCUAGAGUAAGGGAGAGGAAAGUGGAAUUCCUGGUGUAGAGGUGAAAUUCGUAGAUAUCAGGAGGAACACCGGUGGCGAAGGCGACUUUCUGGCCCUAUACUGACGCUGAGACGCGAAAGCGUGGGUAGCAAACAG